AUUGAACGCUGGCGGCAUGCCUUACACAUGCAAGUCGAACGGCAGCACGGGGCAACCUGGGGGCGAGUGGCGAACGGGUGAGUAAUGCAUCGGAACGUACCUUUCAGAGGGGGAUAACGUAGCGAAAGUUACGCUAAUACCGCAUAUUCUGUGAGCAGGAAAGCAGGGGAUCGUAAGACCUUGCGCUGAUUGAGCGGCCGGUGUCAGAUUAGCUCGUUGGUGAGGUAAAGGCUCACCAAGGCGACGAUCUGUAGCGGGUCUGAGAGGAUGAUCCGCCACACUGGAACUGAGACACGGUCCAGACUCCUACGGGAGGCAGCAGUGGGGAAUUUUGGACAAUGGGGGCAACCCUGAUCCAGCCAUGCCGCGUGAGUGAAGAAGGCCUUCGGGUUGUAAAGCUCUUUCGGCCGGGAAGAAAUCGCACGGGCUAAUACCCUGUGUGGAUGACGGUACCGGAAUAAGAAGCACCGGCUAACUACGUGCCAGCCGCCGCCGUAA
This 498-nucleotide ribosomal RNA is filed under the name uncultured bacterium. RNAcentral describes it as "partial 16S ribosomal RNA". It matches the Rfam family "Bacterial small subunit ribosomal RNA", at positions 30 to 523 of the family's 1533-position model. The record is from RNAcentral.